ACGGGUGAGUAACACGUGGGCAAUCUGCCCUGCACUCUGGGACAAGCCCUGGAAACGGGGUCUAAUACCGGAUACGACACAGGAAGGCAUCUUCUCUGUGUGGAAAGCUCCGGCGGUGCAGGAUGAGCCCGCGGCCUAUCAGCUUGUUGGUGGGGUGAUGGCCUACCAAGGCGACGACGGGUAGCCGGCCUGAGAGGGCGACCGGCCACACUGGGACUGAGACACGGCCCAGACUCCUACGGGAGGCAGCAGUGGGGAAUAUUGCACAAUGGGCGAAAGCCUGAUGCAGCGACGCCGCGUGAGGGAUGACGGCCUUCGGGUUGUAAACCUCUUUCAGCAGGGAAGAAGCGCAAGUGACGGUACCUGCAGAAGAAGCACCGGCUAACUACGUGCCAGCAGCCGCGGUAAUACGUAGGGUGCGAGCGUUGUCCGGAAUUAUUGGGCGUAAAGAGCUCGUAGGCGGCUUGUCACGUCGGAUGUGAAAGCCCGGGGCUUAACCCCGGGUCUGCAUUCGAUACGGGCAGGCUAGAGUUCGGUAGGGGAGAUCGGAAUUCCUGGUGUAGCGGUGAAAUGCGCAGAUAUCAGGAGGAACACCGGUGGCGAAGGCGGAUCUCUGGGCCGAUACUGACGCUGAGGAGCGAAAGCGUGGGGAGCGAACAGGAUUAGAUACCCUGGUAGUCCACGCCGUAAACGUUGGGAACUAGGUGUGGGCGACAUUCCACGUCGUCCGUGCCGCAGCUAACGCAUUAAGUUCCCCGCCUGGGGAGUACGGCCGCAAGGCUAAAACUCAAAGGAAUUUGACGGGGGCCCGCACAAGCGGCGGAGCAUGUGGCUUAAUUCGACGCAACGCGAAGAACCUUACCAAGGCUUGACAUACAUCGGAAAGCCGUAGAGAUACGGCCCCCCUUGUGGUCGGUGUACAGGUGGGUGCAUGGCUGUCGUCAGCUCGUGUCGUGAGAUGGUUGGGUUAAGUCCCGCAACGAGCGCAACCCUUAUUCUGUGUUGCCAGCAUGCCUUUCGGGGUGAUGGGGACUCACAGGAGACUGCCGGGGUCAACUCGGAGGAAGGUGGGGACGACGUCAAGUCAUCAUGCCCCUUAUGUCUUGGGCUGCACACGUGCUACAAUGGCCGGUACAAUGAGCUGCGAUACCGUGAGGUGGAGCGAAUCUCAAAAAGCCGGUCUCAGUUCGGAUUGGGGUCUGCAACUCGACCCCAUGAAGUCGGAGUCGCUAGUAAUCGCAGAUCAGCAUUGCUGCGGUGAAUACGUUCCCGGGCCUUGUACACACCGCCCGUCACGUCACGAAAGUCGGUAACACCCGAAGCCGGUGGCCUAGACGCUCUCGCAUCGCUGGGGUACGAGAAUCGUACGUAGAGGUGUAUCAUGGC
This 1386-nucleotide ribosomal RNA is filed under the name Streptomyces sp. SR-BS6. RNAcentral describes it as "bacterial SSU rRNA". It matches the Rfam family "Bacterial small subunit ribosomal RNA". Lineage: Bacteria; Bacillati; Actinomycetota; Actinomycetes; Kitasatosporales; Streptomycetaceae. The record is from RNAcentral.